This 263-nucleotide ribosomal RNA is filed under the name uncultured bacterium. RNAcentral's name for it is "partial 16S ribosomal RNA". It matches the Rfam family "Bacterial small subunit ribosomal RNA", at positions 793 to 1055 of the family's 1533-position model. The record is from RNAcentral.
GUCCACGCUGUAAACGAUGGACACUAGGUGUGGGGGGUAUCGACCCCCUCCGUGCCGAAGCUAACGCGAUAAGUGUCCCGCCUGGGGAGUACGGCCGCAAGGCUAAAACUCAAAGGAAUUGACGGGGGCCCGCACAAGCAGCGGAGCGUGUGGUUUAAUUCGAUGCAACGCGAAAAACCUUACCAGGGUUUGACAUGCACGGGACAGCCCCGGAAACGGGGUCUCCCUUCGGGGUCCGUGCACAGGUGCUGCAUGGCUGUCGU